Non-coding RNA from Pelobates cultripes (western spadefoot toad), 364 nucleotides. NCBI's taxonomy places the organism in Eukaryota, Metazoa, Chordata, Amphibia, Anura, Pelobatidae. The record is from the annotation of a GenBank genome assembly.
AGAAUGUGGGCAACUCGGCAGUCAUUGCGCAGACACUUUGGUGACUCUAGAUAACCUCGGGUCGAUCGCACGUCCCUGUGACGGCGACAACGCAUUCGGAUGUCUUCCCUAUCAACUUUCGAUAGUACUUUCUGUGCCUACCAUGGUGACCACAGGUAACAGGGGAAUCAGGGUUGGAUUCCGGAGAGGGAGCCUGAGAAACGGCUACCACAUCCAAGGAAGGCAGCAGGCGCGCAAAUUACCCACUCCCGACGCGGGGAGGUAGUGAUGAAAAAUAACAAUACAGGACUCUUUCGAGGCCCUGUAAUUGGAAUGAGUACACUUUAAAUCCUUUAACGAGGAUCUAUUGGAGGGUAAGUCUGGU